CCACUACAGGGAAGGAAAAAAAGAUCCUGUAAAGGUGCCCAGCAUCAUAAAUAAUGAUUUGGAAAGGCAUGAAAAGAAACUAUUGAGAGAUGAAGAGGUAGAAGAAGAUUAUGAAGAUAGGGUUUCAUUACAACUAGCGGAA
This is a long non-coding RNA of Telopea speciosissima, 142 nucleotides long. RefSeq lists it as uncharacterized. Lineage: Eukaryota; Viridiplantae; Streptophyta; Magnoliopsida; Proteales; Proteaceae. The record is from RefSeq and is a predicted model, not a curated record. The transcript is spliced from 2 exons.